GUGUCAGCAGCGCGGUAAUACCGGCAGCCCGAGUGAUGGCCGAUCUUAUUGGGCCUAAAGCGUCCGUAGCUGGCUGAACAAGUCCGUUGGGAAAUCUGUCCGCUUAACGGGCAGGCGUCCAGCGGAAACUGUUCAGCUUGGGACCGGAAGACCUGAGGGGUACGUCUGGGGUAGGAGUGAAAUCCUGUAAUCCUGGACGGACCGCCGAUGGCGAAAGCACGUCGCGAGGACGGAUCCGACAGUGAGGGACGAAAGCCAGGGUCUCGGACCGGAUUAGAAACCCUAGUAGUCC
This 292-nucleotide ribosomal RNA is filed under the name uncultured prokaryote. RNAcentral describes it as "partial 16S ribosomal RNA". It matches the Rfam family "Archaeal small subunit ribosomal RNA", at positions 455 to 747 of the family's 1478-position model. The record is from RNAcentral.